Small nucleolar RNA from Solanum pennellii, 85 nucleotides. RefSeq annotates it as small nucleolar RNA snoR109. The record is from RefSeq and is a predicted model, not a curated record. Lineage: Eukaryota; Viridiplantae; Streptophyta; Magnoliopsida; Solanales; Solanaceae. The transcript has a single exon.
UGAACAUUGUCUUGUUUUAUGGUCNGUUUACUGGCCGGUUGUUGUAAAUCUGUUGACAUAUCUGCUUACCGAACUUCUUACAUUU